AGCGAACGCUGGCGGUAGGCCUAACACAUGCAAGUCGAACGGCCGCACAGUAAGAGCUUGCUCUUACGGGUGGCGAGUGGCGGACGGGUGAGGAAUACAUCGGAAUCUACUUUUUCGUGGGGGAUAACGUCGGGAAACUUCCGCUAGUACAGCAUACGUCCUCCGUGUGAAAGCAGGGGAUCUUCGGACCUUGCGCGAUUGAUUGAGCCGGUGUCGGAUUAGCUAGUUGGCGGGGUAAAGGCCCACCAAGGCGCCGAUCCGUAGCUGGUCUGAGCGGAAGGACAGCCAGAUUGGAAGAGAGACAGAGCCCAGACUCCUACGGUGAGACACAGUGGGGAAUAUUGCACGAGGGGGGAGAGGCUAAUCUAGCCAUACCGCGGAAAGGAAGAAGGACUUCGGGUGGGAGAACGCUGUUGUUGGGAAAAAAAAACAGCAGUUUAAUACCCCGCGGUACUGACGGUACCCAAAGAAGAAGCCCCGGCUAACUUCGUG
This 492-nucleotide ribosomal RNA is filed under the name uncultured bacterium. RNAcentral's name for it is "partial 16S ribosomal RNA". It matches the Rfam family "Bacterial small subunit ribosomal RNA", at positions 29 to 507 of the family's 1533-position model. The record is from RNAcentral.